AAGGAGGAAAGAAAGAAAAAAAAUAGAUGAAGGAGGGGGAGAAAAACAUGAGGAAAAGCAGUGCGGGUAGGGCUUGGCUGCUUAGCUUAUUAAGGGAGCUGGAGCUUUGCUGGACGCAGUUUAUCCACCAGCAUCGGGCCUCUGUCCCUGCUUCUCCCGAAAUACCGUUCUGCAGAGGAGAAAAAGGAGGGGGGAAAUAAGGGAAAAAAAAAAAUAAGAAGAAGCUGGAGCCCAAGGAGUCGCUGUGCAAUUUAUUCCAAGGGGUGGCUGUUGAGAAGGCGGCAAUUUGCGGCGGCCGGGGGUUAUUUAGUGCGAUAUGAAAUCAAAUGAUCCUAUUGCUCAAAUAACAGUGUCUGGGAGGAGAAGCGAGCGCGCUCCAAAGGUAAUUGUCUCCAGAUGAUAUUCCUAUUAUCCCCCAAUCCCGGCCUAAACGCUGCCAGCGCCGGACUGGAAUCGAUACGGGGGGAGGACCGGGGGGAUCCCGGGGCCGGGGGGAGGCAUCCCCGGCACUGACCCCCCUCGGGAAGGGCGGCAGGGCUUCGGGAAAACCCUAAAUUCCCUGUGGCCGCUGCCUGUCCGUGCCUCGGCGGGAGCGGCGACACCGGCGGCGGAGCCGAGCGCGGAGCCCAGCAGCAGCAGCAGUGGCAAGCACUGAGAUCGAGCAGGAUGGAGUGGCCUGGCCAAGCCGUGGCCCUGCUGGCAGGAGCUGCAGGGUGGACAGCAGAGGGAACACAGCUUGGUGGUGAAGGUGCUGUUCUCCUGAAAGAGGAUCCUGGCAAAAACAUGGCUUGGUGCUGGGGACGGCUUGCUGAAGGCAAGACAGCAGCAGACACUUGAAUGGAGACUCCUCGUGUUUACAGCCUGGUCACACGAGUGACUGAGACCCAAAAUCUCCCUGACAUCCUCUCUGGAUGCUUGGCCUUGGAACAGCCUCGUUUGUGCCACACCUGCUCCCUUCUGCUCAUGGAGCCUUCUAUGCUGCACAGGACACUGGAAAAGCACUUGGAGAUGACUGGAGAAAGAUGGAGCUUCCUGGAAAAUGGUCUCUAAACCAGGCCCUUCCCUGUGCCGUGGCUUUUCUGGGGCUCAUUUAUAUCAGUGGUUCCUGCUGGAGGAACUCUGUCACCUUCCCCGAGGCAGCAGAGCUGAGGCCAGACGUGGUGUGCGCUGCUUGUGCAUCAGACAUGAGUAAUAACAAGUUUGGAGGAACUGUACCACUUAAUAAAAGCAUUUUAUUACAUUUAAAUGUAUUAAAAUGUGAACAUU
Molecule: long non-coding RNA, 1266 nt
Organism: Camarhynchus parvulus
Lineage: Eukaryota; Metazoa; Chordata; Aves; Passeriformes; Thraupidae
Exons: 4
Source: RefSeq, a predicted model, not a curated record